GUGCUCGCUUCCGCAGCACAUAUACUAAAAUUGGAAUGAUACAGAAAAGAUUAGCAUGGCCCC
Molecule: small nuclear RNA, 63 nt
Filed under: Capra hircus (goat)
Lineage: Eukaryota; Metazoa; Chordata; Mammalia; Artiodactyla; Bovidae
Source: RNAcentral